Molecule: long non-coding RNA, 553 nt
Filed under: Monodelphis domestica (gray short-tailed opossum)
Lineage: Eukaryota; Metazoa; Chordata; Mammalia; Didelphimorphia; Didelphidae
Description: lncRNA (ENSMODG00000032696.2)
Source: RNAcentral
AACUUGAUCUGACCAAAAAGAUCUCCAGGUUUCCUGGGAGAAAAUGGCUUUGUAAAUUGUGAUACCUCCAAUGAGUUCUUCAAGGGUUAAGGUUUUGCAUUGGGACAAUGACCACCCACCUCAAAGAAGGUCACAAAUCCUUAUAACUUAAUUGUCUUCAAGAGUUUCUGUAACCAACAACUCCAUUACCAUGUUCCUGACCUGGAAGUGAGUCUCUCCAAACUCAGGUGUGGGGACAAUAACAACCCUAGAGAUCAGAUUAGGACUCAGGGAGAUGGAGCUGAGCCUUGAUGGAAUCUCAGGACUAUAAGAACUGUAAUAUGGGAAGAAAUACACUUUCGGCAUGAGGAACAGCCUGUUCAAAGUCACGAUGACAGGAGAAGCAGCGUGGUGUGGAAAGAUCACAGGAUUUGGAGCCAGAAAGCCCCAGGUUUGAAUCUUGCCUCUGCUACUUGCUACCUAAAUAGCCACAAGCCACCUCUCUGGAACUCUGCUUCAUUCCUUUCAAAAUAAAGGGAUUGAACUAGAUGAUGGUGUGGAAAUUUAAUACUAC